Oncorhynchus tshawytscha (Chinook salmon) is the source of this 1099-nucleotide long non-coding RNA. The record is from Ensembl. NCBI's taxonomy places the organism in Eukaryota, Metazoa, Chordata, Actinopteri, Salmoniformes, Salmonidae.
CUCACCACUAUGACUGUUCCUCUGGAGAUACAACUCACCACUAUAACUGUUCCUCUGGGGAUACAACUGACCACUAUGACUGUUCCUCUGGAGAUACAACUCACCACUAUGACUGUACUCUGUCUGGAGAUACAACUCACCACUAUAACUGUUCCUCUGUCUGGAGAUACAACUCACCACUAUGACUGUCCCUCUGUCUGGAGAUACAACUCACCACUAUAACUGUUCCUCUGUCUGGAGAUACAACUCACCACUAUAACUGUUCCUCUGUCUGGAGAUACAACUCACCACUAUGACUGUUCCUCUGUCUGGAGAUACAACUCACCACUAUAACUGUUCCUCUGGAGAUACAACUCACCACUAUAACUGUUCCUCUGUCUGGAGAUACAACUCACCACUAUAACUGUUCCUAUGUCUGGAGAUACAACUCACCACUAUAACUAACUGUUCCUCUGGAGAUACAACUCACCACUAUAACUGUUCCUAUGUCUGGAGAUACAACUCACCACUAUAACUGUCCCUCUGUCUGGAGAUACAACUCACCACUAUAACUGUUCCUCUGGAGAUACAACUCACCACUAUAACUGUUCCUCUGGAGAUACAACUCACCACUAUAACUGUUCCUCUGGGGAUACAACUCACCACUAUGACUGUUCCUCUGGAGAUACAACUCACCACUAUAACUGUUCCUCUGUCUGGAGAUACAACUCACCACUAUAACUGUACCUCUGUCUGGAGAUACAACUCACCACUAUAACUGUUCCUCAGGAGAUACAACUCACCACUAUAACUGUACCUCUGUCUGGAGAUACAACUCACCACUAUAACUGUUCCUCAGGAGAUACAACUCACCACUAUAACUGUUCCUCUGGAGAUACAACUCACCACUAUAACUGUUCCUCUGUCUGGAGAUAUAACUCACCACUAUAACUGUACCUCUGUCUGGAGAUACAACUCACCACUAUAACUGUUCCUCUGUCUGGAGAUACAACUCACCAAAUCAAAUCAAAUUUAUUUAUAUAGCCCUUCGUACAUCAGCUGAUAUCUCAAAGUGCUGUACAGAAACCCAGCCUAAAACCCCAAACAGCAAGCAAUGCAG